GGGGUAUAGCUCAGUUGGUAGAGCACUGCUUUUGCAAGGCAGGGGUCAGCGGUUCAAAUCCGCUUACCUCC
This 71-nucleotide transfer RNA is filed under the name uncultured Chlorophyceae. It matches the Rfam family "tRNA". From Rfam's summary of the family: Transfer RNA (tRNA) molecules are approximately 80 nucleotides in length. Their secondary structure includes four short double-helical elements and three loops (D, anti-codon, and T loops). The record is from RNAcentral. Lineage: Eukaryota; Viridiplantae; Chlorophyta; Chlorophyceae.